AUCCAGUUGACGAGUCCCAAAUAGGAUGAAACGCGUAUUCUGCAU
This 45-nucleotide non-coding RNA is filed under the name Schistosoma haematobium. The record is from RNAcentral. Lineage: Eukaryota; Metazoa; Platyhelminthes; Trematoda; Strigeidida; Schistosomatidae.